GUAGGGUGCAAGCGUUAAUCGGAAUUACUGGGCGUAAAGCGUGCGCGGGCGGUUUUGUAAGUCUGAUGUGAAAUCCCCGGGCUCAACCUGGGAACUGCAUUGGAGACUGCAAGGCUAGAGUGUGUCAGAGGGGGGUAGAAUUCCACGUGUAGCAGUGAAAUGCGUAGAGAUGUGGAGGAAUACCGAUGGCGAAGGCAGCCCCCUGGGAUAACACUGACGCUCAUGCACGAAAGCGUGGGGGGGAGCAAACAGGAUUAGAUACCCUGGUAGUCCACGCCCUAAACGAUGUCUACUAGUUGUCGGGACUUAGUUGUCUUGGUAACGCAGCUAACGCGUGAAGUAGACCGCCUGGGAGUACGGUCGCAAGAUUA
This 371-nucleotide ribosomal RNA is filed under the name uncultured organism. RNAcentral describes it as "partial 16S ribosomal RNA". It matches the Rfam family "Bacterial small subunit ribosomal RNA", at positions 527 to 896 of the family's 1533-position model. The record is from RNAcentral.